This is a long non-coding RNA of Oncorhynchus tshawytscha (Chinook salmon), 376 nucleotides long. Lineage: Eukaryota; Metazoa; Chordata; Actinopteri; Salmoniformes; Salmonidae. The record is from Ensembl.
UAGUCAGAUGGAGGUGGUAGGGUAGAGAAGGUAGGAUACCUCUAGUCAGAUGGAGGUGGUAGGAUAGAGAAGGUAGGAUACCUCUAGUCAGAUGGAGGUGGUAGGGUAGAGAAGGUAGGAUACCUCUAGUCAGAUGGAGGUGGUAGGGUAGAGAAGGUAGGGUACCUCUAGUCAGAUGAGGGUGGUAGGGUAGAGAGGGUAGGAUACCUCUAGUCAGAUGAGGGUGGUAGGGUAGAGAAGGUAGGAUACCUCUAGUCAGAUGAGGGUGGUAGGGUAGAGAGGGUAGGAUACCUCUAGUCAGAUGAGGGUGGUAGGGUAGAGAAGGUAGGAUACCUCAAGACAUAUGGUGGUGGUGGCCUGGAGCGGAUUGGACAUC